Molecule: ribosomal RNA, 380 nt
Filed under: uncultured Sphingobacteriales bacterium
Lineage: Bacteria; Pseudomonadati; Bacteroidota; Sphingobacteriia; Sphingobacteriales
Description: bacterial SSU rRNA
Rfam family: Bacterial small subunit ribosomal RNA
Source: RNAcentral
AAAGCUUACAUCUCUUCGGAGCAUUUUACGAGGUGCUGCAUGGUUGUCGUCAGCUCGUGCCGUGAGGUGUCCGGGUUAAGUCCCAUAACGAGCGCAACCCCUACCUUUAGUUGCCAUCAGGUAAUGGCUGGGGACUCUAAAGGAACUGCCUACGCAAGUAGUGAGGAAGGCGGGGAUGACGUCAAAUCAGCACGGCCCUUACGUCCAGGGCUACACACGUGCUACAAUGGCCGAUACAGAGGGCAGCUACCUGGUGACAGGAUGCAAAUCUACCAAAGUCGGUCUCAGUUCGGAUCGGAGUCUGCAACCCGACUCCGUGAAGUUGGAUUCGCUAGUAAUCGCGCAUCAGCCAUGGCGCGGUGAAUACGUUCCCGGGCCUU